CAGUCGGGAAUUUUGCUCAAUGGGGGAAACCCUGAAGCAGCAACGCCGCGUGCGGGAUGAAGGCCUUCGGGUUGUAAACCGCUUUUUUUAGGGACGAUGAUGACGGUACCUGAAGAAUAAGUCACGGCUAACUACGUGCCAGCAGCCGCGGUAAUACGUAGGUGACCAGCGUUGUCCGGAUUUACUGGGCGUAAAGAGCGCGCAGGCGGUCGUUCAAGUCGAGUGUGAAAGCCCCCGGCUCAACUGGGGAGGGUCAUUCGAUACUGAUCGACUUGAAGGCAGGAGAGGGAAGCGGAAUUCCCGGUGUAGUGGUGAAAUGCGUAGAUAUCGGGAGGAACACCAGUGGCGAAGGCGGCUUCCUGGCCUGUUCUUGACGCUGAGGCGCGAAAGCUAGGGGAGCAAACGGGAUUAGAUACCCCGGUAGUCCUAGCCGUAAACGAUGGACACUAGGUGUUGGUGGUAUCAACCCCACCAGUGCCGAAGCUAACGCAUUAAGUGUCCCGCCUGGGGAGUACGGCCGCAAGGCUA
This 528-nucleotide ribosomal RNA is filed under the name uncultured bacterium. Its description in RNAcentral is "bacterial SSU rRNA". It matches the Rfam family "Bacterial small subunit ribosomal RNA", at positions 352 to 896 of the family's 1533-position model. The record is from RNAcentral.